ACGUGACCGUAUGUCAACGGACCGUCGAUGCCGUCAAGGCCUCUUUCAUCCAUGGAGAAUAGUCAGAAUAGUGGUUUCAUCGGACCGCUCUGCCGAUCUCUCGGCGUGGAGGAAACGUAAACAAAGGUAUGUUUCAUUUUCGUUGUUGUUACUACUUGUGCUGAACAAUGGAGCGGGUGAAGCGUUCGCUAUCAGAGCUAGCCGAUCGCCAAAAAAGACGUAGAGUAGCCGAAAGUGUUCGCAAGGAACUUGAAAGUUGCGGUACGAGCAGUGAGGAGUCGGUGGACAGUGAGGAAGCAUACCCUCUUUCACCUGGACAACAGGCCGUGGCAGCACAUGCAAGUUUUUCCGGAGAGUUUGAAUACCAACGAGCUUCCGAGUGUGAAUCUGAGUCGAGUGAUACGAGUGGUGCACGAAAUAACCUAAUCUCAGAACACCUGUGUCAAAAUCCCCGCUGCGAAUUCCCCGCGUUACCUCCCCCUCUUCAAAAUCCCCGGCCUUCAAAACCCCCUUUCCUUUAUCCCCUUAUCAGUUCCCCCGGGCCCGUGGUCCUUAGAAAGCAUUUGGAAAAGCGCUUUUAUGGACACUUCAUAAAGCUGAGCUGUGUUAUGACCAUCCUAGCCAGCCCCAAUUAAAUUUUCUUUGACACGCUGUGAUCUUGCAGAAUCUCUCUUGAGAGAGUUUGUUUCUGGAGCUGGUACCUUGUAUGAGGGGGUUUAUGUCUACAACAUGCACUCCCUGAUCCACCUGACAAGACGUUCGAAGGUUCGGCCCUGUCAACACCUUCUCGGCCUUUCCCUUUGAGAACUUCCUUGGGAAGAUCAAGAAGUUGGUGAGGGGUCCUUCCUUGGCACUGCAGCAGGUUAUCAAGAGGCACUCAGAAGUGAAUCCCACCACCGUGUCAAGAUCUGUGCAACAGAAGUGUGCUCUGCUCAAGCAACAACCUGAGCCGCCAAGCUUCAAGAAAACCCAGUGCAGUGAGCUUGUUUUAGCUCACUGCACUGUGUUCAACUGUGUUCAACUGAAGUAUGGCAACAUUGCUGUUGUUAGGAACUUCAUUGAGUCAGAUGGGAACCGUAGCAUCUGCGGACAGUUUUUCCGAAAUCUCGGCAACCUUUAUACUUCAAAGUUGCCAUCAUCAGAGCUAGGGAUUUUUAGAGCUACAGGGCUCUCCAAGUAGUAUUCAGUGUGGAGUGUGCAGGACAUCAGGUGGAAGUGCGUCUGCUUGCAAUAUAACCAGGGCUAUGCAGUUUUUCUUCUACUUCACUUGCAAGUGGGAUCCAUGUUUGCAACCGUUGCACAUUGGUUGUGCUUAAUUCAAAAACUAUUUUUCGUGGCUUAUGAGUGGCCUUUGAGGUAAUACAGGCUUGAUUUGUUGAUUUCAGGAAAUGUACUCUGUUGUCCAUUUAUUUGUUGCUUUAUUUGUUGAUUUCAGGAAAUGUACUCUGUGGUCCAUUUUUUGGCGGAAAAUGAUGUUGCAGUUGUUCCUACCUGUUGGGUGUGCAAUGGCCGCACGGCAUGGCCACCCUACAGAUCAAAUCGGUUGAUGAUGGUAAUUGAGAGCGUGAAGAGCCCUUUACUGACUGGGCCACAUUCUCCUGUCAGGUGAUGGCAUCAUGUUGUAAGUAUAGCGGGUGUCUAGCAACCGGGAAUAGUCAGGAAUAUUUUAAUUACCGGGAAAAAUCAGAGAUAUUGUCAAAAAGCGAGCCCAGUCAAGGAAAACGAGCCAGAAAUGCCAUUGAGUGCCCUGAGCAAGGAGUUGAGAACCUUGGGGCAGAGAAAUAGGCUCUAAGCAGAGCCGCGCUCUGCUUAGAGCAGAGCGCGGGCUCUGCUCACCUAAUGUAGAGUGUGCUAGAGUACUGUACGAGCCAGAAUUUCUAGGCACGGCACGACCCGGCCCGGUAGAGGCAUGGCCCGGGCCCGGCCCGAGCCCGAUAGAAUAUUUCAUUUCCAGGCCCGGCCAGACUUGGCCUUGAAGAGACACGGCUCGGGCCCGGCCCGGACCCGGCAGAAUUUUAGACAGAAACUUGAGCCCGGCCCAAGCCCGACAAAAUAUUUGUUUUGUUUAAUAUAAGCCUGAGCUUGGCCCGAUCCUGACAGAUUGUAUACAUGAGCCCGAAAAAGUUGGCCUAAAACCUAAAAACUGUCUAAGCAUAAUGCGAGCAUAUUUGAUUUAAUGAACAAAAGGUUGGGGCGCAAACGAGCUUGUGGUGGUUAAACAUUUGACUGGUGUGCUCGGCUUUCUUGUUUCAGUGACAUAUGAAGAUGCAAAGUUCAAAGAAAAAAAAUCCGGAAGCGGCGUCCGACCUAUCAACGAAUAAUGAAGAGCGGGAGAGAAAAGAAAAAGGAAGAGACUGCUCCUUUUCCGUCAAGCUUGUCUCUUCUGCAGGAACGACCUAGCACUCAGCCAGCCCCUCAACUUCCAGAACGUGCACCAGUGCCCAAGCAAAAACGCACACGUGAGCAGCGUGCCUCUUCCCAGGAGUGACUGAGGGGCUGCCACAAGGGGAGAAGGCAAGCAUGUUUCUGAUUACAAGAAUGGACAGUUGGGCUGGGCUAGUUGGUAAGAAUUGAUGUUGAAAAACGGUGCAAAAACCAGACAAAGAGAAAAGAACACACAGCACCUUGUCCUGUGUGUUCUCUUAUCCGUGCAUUUUGCACUGUUUUUCAGCAUGUUUCUGCCUUGAUUUUUCUGUUAUAGUUUUAAAUGUCUGUAGUUGGUUACUUUGAUCCCUGUUGGAAGCAUGGAAUUGGUUAACCGUGUUAAAUGCAUGGAAUCGAAAAAAAAAAAUCAUGCUAUUUGAAUCAUUUAAAAGCUUUUUUGUCUAAUGAUUUCUUUCUCUUUUUUUUACAACCAUCCCAUGAGUGAGUGCCUGUUGUUUGAAUUUUUUAUGGCAAUUUUUAAUAUGCAUAUGUUACCUUUUAUUUCUAUUCAUGUAUACAUUUUAGCCCUAGCUAGUGGUUUCUUUUAUUUAAUUUAUGUACACAUUAGUAUGGUAUUUUUACAAGUUUUAAAAUCUAUGUUCUUUUUCUAGUCCUUUCUGGUUUAUUGCCUCCAUUAUUUAUUUAUAUGUCCUAGCCCAAGAUCGGGUGUAGUUUGAGAUAUAUUUAGAAUUUUAUUUCAAGCUGCUUGCUUUAUGUUGCUGGGAAUUUUAAUAUUUUGCGUUUUUAUUUCCAUGCAGAUCAGCCUUGUAAUUUAGUGUGUUCUUUACAAUUUUGUAGAUCUAAUAGCUUGUAAGAAACAGAAGAAUACACUGGUACUUGUAAUGUUUGUUUCGUUUUUGAAAUAAAUUUAUUCCAAUAAC
Molecule: long non-coding RNA, 3305 nt
Organism: Ixodes scapularis (black-legged tick)
Lineage: Eukaryota; Metazoa; Arthropoda; Arachnida; Ixodida; Ixodidae
Exons: 2
Source: RefSeq, a predicted model, not a curated record